RNAcentral lists this ribosomal RNA (487 nucleotides) under uncultured Aerococcus sp. Its description in RNAcentral is "partial 16S ribosomal RNA". The record is from RNAcentral. Lineage: Bacteria; Bacillati; Bacillota; Bacilli; Lactobacillales; Aerococcaceae.
CACGUAGUUAGCCGUGGCUUUCUGAUAAGAUACCGUCAAGACUGUAGCAGUUACUCUACAAUUUGUUCUUCUCUUAUAACAGAGUUUUACGACCCGAAGGCCUUCUUCACUCACGCGGCAUUGCUCCGUCAGGCUUUCGCCCAUUGCGGAAGAUUCCCUACUGCUGCCUCCCGUAGGAGUUUGGGCCGUGUCUCAGUCCCAAUGUGGCCGAUCACCCUCUCAGGUCGGCUAUGCAUCAUCGUCUUGGUAGGCCAUUACCCCACCAACUAACUAAUGCACCGCAAGGUCAUCUAUAAGUGACAGCAGAGCCGUCUUUCAAUCUUCUUCCAUGCGGAAGAAGAUAUUAUGCGGUAUUAGCACCCGUUUCCGAAUGUUAUCCCCCGCUUAUAGGUAGAUUCCUUACGUGUUACUCACCCGUUCGCCGCUAACGUCAGAAGUGCAAGCACUUCAUCUGUUCGCUCGACUUGCAUGUAUUAGGCAUGCCGCC